Molecule: long non-coding RNA, 1494 nt
Organism: Ictalurus punctatus (channel catfish)
Lineage: Eukaryota; Metazoa; Chordata; Actinopteri; Siluriformes; Ictaluridae
Source: Ensembl
CUUUGGAGCACACUUUGAGAACCACUGCUUUAUAUAAUAUAAAUAUUUAGAUGUAAUGUGUAAAGUGUCUAUGCCCCCCCCCCCUCCCCCCACUACCACCACCACCGUAAAACAUUAAGAUGUAUUAAUAUAUCAUUUAUAUUAAAUAUGGUUUAAAAUAUGUUGAGACAUAUAAAUAUAUGUAUAAACGUAGGCUGUGUUUAACACUGCAAACGGUUUCCAUGGAAACGAACGUAAUAAGCGGAAGUGACGCGGGGAGGCGUGCGUUUAAAACCCUCGGCGCCUCUCCGUGUAGAUGCUCUGAAGCCUGAACCAUGGACCAGACUCUCUCCAUCACAGGAUCUCUGUGUGUGUGUAUCAGUGCUGUCAUGCUGCUCCAGAGUUCUCCCACAGCAGCUCAUUCCAAUACCGAAGUGAACGCGCCGACGAUUAUCCACAUGGCGCAGAAGUUUUCAGGCACUCGCUACAGGAUCACCUGCAGAGUGAACCCUGGAGGACUCAAAGACGAGAUCAUGGUGUACUGGCUGGCCGAUGGAGACUUUUUAGAGACGGCCUAUAAAAACAUCCGUGUGACAAAAAAAGUGAAAUGGUUGGACGGGACAGAGUACAUCGAGACCACAGCGGUGUUCAAAAAGCUUUCUCAGAAAGACUUCGACACCAAUUUCACCUGCAUCGCUCUGAGUCCAGCCGGGUUCGCCAAAGAAAACAUUCAAAUCAUAAAAGCAUCUCCUAGACUGACCUGAGUGUGUUUGUAACUUCUCAGUAUUUAUGACCCAGUGUUCAACACGAAAUGUAGGAAUACGUUCAUCUCCGUAGCUAAACGAGCGAAUGCGUGUCCUUUAAAAACAAAAUACCCAAGACCUCUUUACGAAGUAUUUUAGGAUGUAAUCAUAUCUCUAAAAUGUUUUAUUUCCAAAGGAUUUUUGGAAGUUUGUUUGUGGAUGCAGAUCUACUUGGCAUCAAACUGCAUAUAUUGUAGAAGUUAUAUUGCGUGAAGGAGUUUAAUGUUGAAUUAUUGGGUAUUAUUUUUAUAUUAAUAUACGAUUUAUAAACCUGACUGUUAGUUGGGUGUUUCAGCUGUACUUGAAAACUUGUUUUUUUUCUUUAUAAAUCUCAAGUGAUCAUUUAUGAGUUUCUCUUUAAAUCGUGUAAAAUUCCAGGGGAUUGUUUAUAAAAGAAAAUUGUACAUGCAUUCACACAAAAACAAUCUGAUUUUAUAAAACUCUUUGUAUGCCAUGUCUAUGUGAUGUAUAAAUCUCCCAAAUGACCAUCAAAAUCUCUCAACACCUCCAUGUUUUGCGUAUUCAUGAACGUCUGUGUGUGUAAACAGUGUGUUUAAACAUUGUCCUUAUUUUAUUUCUUAUUAUUUAUCCUUUAUUUUCCACUGCAUUCUCAAUGAGAGUGUAGAAACGAAUCAGUUCAUUGUGUAAUAAUAAACACAAUCAAAUAAUGAAUAUCUGUGAGUUCAUUUCUGUUCCAAAAAACAUAUUUUAG